RNAcentral lists this long non-coding RNA (366 nucleotides) under Dromaius novaehollandiae (emu). RNAcentral describes it as "lncRNA (ENSDNVG00000013265.1)". Lineage: Eukaryota; Metazoa; Chordata; Aves; Casuariiformes; Dromaiidae. The record is from RNAcentral.
AUUUAUACUGCCUUAACUGAGUGCUAUCUAAAUACACACUUUGCUUUCUGCUAAAGGGYACUUUUCCUGCUAGUAAUCUGAUGUUUGAUAGUCUUUUCUUUUGCAGUUAUCUUAUUCUUUCAAAUUAAUUUCACCCUACCUCUGAGUCGAAGACCAUUCCUUACAUUACCCACUGGACUUUUUAAUGCUGUGACAUGACUGAAUCUUUUUCUUUACUGAUGAAAUCCAGACUCAGGAUAAAGCAGCUGGUUGCAGAGGAAAGCGGGAAAUGGCUUCAGCAGAAGAACAUUCCAGUCAGUGUCAUCCUUCUGKUUUUUUUUUCCCCCAAGGCAAGCUCAAGCUAUUUAUCUUUGUUAAAAUUGGUUA